RNAcentral lists this ribosomal RNA (497 nucleotides) under uncultured bacterium. RNAcentral describes it as "partial 16S ribosomal RNA". It matches the Rfam family "Bacterial small subunit ribosomal RNA", at positions 354 to 845 of the family's 1533-position model. The record is from RNAcentral.
GUAGGGAAUCUUCCACAAUGGACGCAAGUCUGAUGGAGCAACGCCGCGUGAGUGAAGAAGGUUUUCGGAUCGUAAAGCUCUGUUGUUGGUGAAGAAGGAUAGAGGCAGUAACCGGUCUUUAUUUGACGGUAAUCAACCAGAAAGUCACGGCUAACUACGUGCCAGCAGCCGCGGUAAUACGUAGGUGGCAAGCGUUGUCCGGAUUAUUGGGCGUAAAGCGAGCGCAGGCGGAAUGAUAAGUCUGAUGUGAAAGCCCACGGCUCAACCGUGGAACUGCAUCGGAAACUGUCAUUCUUGAGUGCAGAAGAGGAGAGUGGAACUCCAUGUGUAGCGGUGGAAUGCGUAGAUAUAUGGAAGAACACCAGUGGCGAAGGCGGCUCUCUGGUCUGCAACUGACGCUGAGGCUCGAAAGCAUGGGUAGCGAACAGGAUUAGAUACCCUGGUAGUCCAUGCCGUAAACGAUGAGCGCUAGGUGUUGGGGACUUCCGGUCUCAGUG